AUUGAACGCUGGCGGCAUGCCUUACACAUGCAAGUCGAACGGUAACGGGCCUUCGGGUGCCGACGAGUGGCGAACGGGUGAGUAAUACAUCGGAACGUGCCCGAUCGUGGGGGAUAACGAGGCGAAAGCUUUGCUAAUACCGCAUACGAUCUACGGAUGAAAGCAGGGGACCGCAGGGCCUUGCGCGGACGGAGCGGCCGAUGGCAGAUUAGGUAGUUGGUGGGAUAAAAGCUUACCAAGCCGACGAUCUGUAGCUGGUCUGAGAGGAUGAUCAGCCACACUGGGACUGAGACACGGCCCAGACUCCUACGGGAGGCAGCAGUGGGGAAUUUUGGACAAUGGGCGCAAGCCUGAUCCAGCCAUGCCGCGUGCAGGAUGAGGGCCUUCGGGUUGUAAACUGCUUUUGUACGGAACGAAAAGCCUUCUUUUAAUACAGGAGGGUCAUGACGGUACCGUAAGAAUAAGCACCGGCUAACUACGUG
This 482-nucleotide ribosomal RNA is filed under the name uncultured bacterium. RNAcentral describes it as "partial 16S ribosomal RNA". It matches the Rfam family "Bacterial small subunit ribosomal RNA", at positions 30 to 507 of the family's 1533-position model. The record is from RNAcentral.